CCUACGGGUGGCUGCAGUGAGGAAUAUUGGUCAAUGGGCGCGAGCCUGAACCAGCCAAGUAGCGUGAGGGAUGAAGGUUCUAUGGAUUGUAAACCUCUUUUAUAAGGGAAUAAAGUGAGGGACGUGUGCCGUUUUGUAUGUACGUUAUGAAUAAGGAUCGGCUAACUCCGUGCCAGCAGCCGCGGUAAUACGGAGGAUCCGAGCGUUAUCCGGAGUUAUUGGGUUUAAAGGGAGCGUAGAGGGCUUUUUAAGUCAGAGGUGAAAGUCUGUGGCUCAACCCUAAAAUUGCAGUUGAUACUGGGAGUCUUGAGUAUAUUUGAGGCAGGCGGCAUUCGUGGUGUAGCGGU
RNAcentral lists this ribosomal RNA (347 nucleotides) under uncultured bacterium. RNAcentral describes it as "partial 16S ribosomal RNA". It matches the Rfam family "Bacterial small subunit ribosomal RNA", at positions 338 to 682 of the family's 1533-position model. The record is from RNAcentral.